RNAcentral lists this ribosomal RNA (474 nucleotides) under uncultured bacterium. RNAcentral describes it as "partial 16S ribosomal RNA". It matches the Rfam family "Bacterial small subunit ribosomal RNA", at positions 35 to 539 of the family's 1533-position model. The record is from RNAcentral.
AGCGAACGCUGGCGGCAGGCCUAACACAUGCAAGUCGAACGAACCUUUCGGGGUUAGUGGCGGACGGGUGAGUAACACGUGGGAACGUGCCUUUAGGUUCGGAAUAACUCAGGGAAACUUGUGCUAAUACCGAAUGUGCCCUUCGGGGGAAAGAUUUAUCGCCUUUAGAGCGGCCCGCGUCUGAUUAGCUAGUUGGUUGAGGUAAUGGCUCACCAAGGCGACGAUCAGUAGCUGGUCUGAGAGGAUGAUCAGCCACAUUGGGACUGAGACACGGCCCAAACGCCUGAGGGAGUCAAGUGUGGCGAGUCUUGCGACAAGGGCGAAACCCGGACGACGCGAGUGGAAGAGUGAGAAGAAGGUCGUAGUAUUACACAUUUCUUCCGCGGGGGAAGAGAAGGCCAUUCCCCGGGGAAGAAGCCCCGGCCCACUCGGUGCCAGCCGCCGCGGUGAGAGAGGACCAACACCCUUCAGAAC